UUCUUGAUUUUUUUUUCCUGAAAUGGUCUGUUUUGACAUGUUAUUGCAUGAUGCUUUUCCGCGUCGUGUGUAUUUGCGAUUUUGUUGAUUUUGGCUUUUUUGCAUGCUGGAACAUGUACAUUCACAAUUAUCUGAUCAGAAACAACAUGCACGAAACUGCCUGAGAUUUUCGCCAGAGAGGCUAAUGUCUGUCCCAAGGCUGUUGCAUUGGAACCUCCUGAAGGGUUUCUGUCAGAAUGGUGGUCGUUAUUUUGGAGUGUAUACUCUACUCAUUGCACAAAUCAUGCUGAAGCACUAGAAGACUCUUCAUCAAAGGCAACUCAGAAUGCUGGAAGUGUGUCUCAGAAUGUUAAUUCUGUUAUGCUGGACCCAGAUGUCGAUUAUAUUUUACAGACUCGCCCCACAGUGCAAAUGCCAGGACUUCCUAGUAUGCUACAAACUCUCAAUCCAAGGCCAGACAUAGAAAAUUUGCAGCAAAGUGAUGCUUCGAGAAUGAUGCCAAGGCCAAUAUUAGAACUUCCUAUUUCAGACUUCAGUACAAGGCCAGGACAAACUUCAAGAAGUUUGAUAACUGCACCAAUAUUGGAGCAAGAGCGUCUUAAGCUUCCUGUCAGGGACUUGAAUUCUGACUCGCAGGUUCUAAAUGUCAAUGAAUUAGCUUGCAUGCUGCCAUCUUCAAGAAAUUCUAGAAUGACAAAGGUGGUGCUAGUUUGAGGAGAUCCACUGCCGCAGAACCAACUUAUCAUCCACCACGACCUAUUCAACCCGAAAUAAGACCUGCUGAUAGAGAUUCCCAAGGGUGUCUUCAGCUUCCUGUCAAGAACUUGAAUUAUAACUCGGAGCUUUGUGAUUUUGAUCAGUUACGUUGCUUACUGCCAUCUUCAAGCAAUUGCAGCAUGCUUUCAGGAACUUAGUUUGUUUCACUUGGUCCCACGAACAUCCGGGGAGCUGAUUUACCUGCGUCUUGAAGUUCAUCCAAAAUUGCUAAAACGAAAAAGAUGUUGAGGUCGCAUGUGUAACUGUUGACUCAAGGACACUAAGUUUGGCGUGUAAGGGCGCAAAGAUCUUUUUGACUAGUUGUCAAGACAACUUGCUGGACUGUCCGAGUUUCCUCAUGCUAUACAUCUGCUAAUAACCUCUGCAUCUGCUAUGACGCUAGAUGUUCGUAAAGCUGCUGAAGCAGGCUUUAGUGAAAUAGUCAGGGUUUGUGGACACGAAAUGGCAUGUGACACAAGUUUUGAAAAGUGUACAAGGUUCUUCUUUUAGCUAUUGAUGUCGAACAACUGUAACCGUAUAGGAUUUUCAAGAAAAUAUCGAAUCGAAUAGAUUGAUUUUAGCAACCAUAACAUCCAAAACCAGCUCAAAGGUUGGAAAAUCCAAUGCUUAUGGUGAUCGUGCGCUUCCAUCAUGGCAAGGAACAUAGUUGCA
This is a long non-coding RNA of Sesamum indicum (sesame), 1428 nucleotides long. RefSeq lists it as uncharacterized. Lineage: Eukaryota; Viridiplantae; Streptophyta; Magnoliopsida; Lamiales; Pedaliaceae. The record is from RefSeq and is a predicted model, not a curated record.